GAUGAACGCUGGCGGCGUGCCUAAUACAUGCAAGUCGAGCGAACAGAUGAGGAGCUUGCUCCUCUUACGUUAGCGGCGGACGGGCGAGUAACACGUGGAUAACCUACCUAUAAGACUGGGAUAACUUCGGGAAACCGGAGCUAAUACCGGAUAAUAUAUUGAACCGCAUGGUUCAAUAGUGAAAGACGGUUUUGCUGUCACUUAUAGAUGGAUCCGCGCCGCAUUAGCUAGUUGGUAAGGUAACGGCUUACCAAGGCAACGAUGCGUAGCCGACCUGAGAGGGUGAUCGGCCACACUGGAACUGAGACACGGUCCAGACUCCUACGGGAGGCAGCAGUAGGGAAUCUUCCGCAAUGGGCGAAAGCCUGACGGAGCAACGCCGCGUGAGUGAUGAAGGUCUUCGGAUCGUAAAACUCUGUUAUUAGGGAAGAACAAAUGUGUAAGUAACUAUGCACGUCUUGACGGUACCUAAUCAGAAAGCCACGGCUAACUACGUG
RNAcentral lists this ribosomal RNA (497 nucleotides) under uncultured bacterium. RNAcentral describes it as "partial 16S ribosomal RNA". It matches the Rfam family "Bacterial small subunit ribosomal RNA", at positions 28 to 507 of the family's 1533-position model. The record is from RNAcentral.